GACGAACGCUGGCGGCGUGCUUAACACAUGCAAGUCGAACGAAGUGGCGAACGGGUGAGUAACGCGUGAUCAACCUGCACUUCAGAGGGGGACAACAGUUGGAAACGACUGCUAAUACCGCAUACUGAAGGUGGGGAUUGCGUUGGAUUAGCUAGUUGGAGGGGUAACGGCCCACCAAGGCGAAGAUCAGUAGCCGGUCUGGGGGGAAGGACGGCCAAAAUUGGACUGGGGCACGGCCCAGAAUCCUACGGGAGGGAGCAGGGGGGAAACUUCCGCAAUGGAGGGAAGUCUGACGGAGCAACGCCGCGGGAGUGAUGACGGCCUUCGGGUUGGAAAGCUCUGUUAAGCGGGACGCGGUACCGGAAUAGAAAGCCACGGCUAACUACGUGCCAGCAGCCGCGGUAAUUC
Molecule: ribosomal RNA, 408 nt
Filed under: uncultured bacterium
Lineage: Bacteria
Description: partial 16S ribosomal RNA
Rfam family: Bacterial small subunit ribosomal RNA
Source: RNAcentral